RNAcentral lists this ribosomal RNA (253 nucleotides) under uncultured bacterium. RNAcentral's name for it is "partial 16S ribosomal RNA". It matches the Rfam family "Bacterial small subunit ribosomal RNA", at positions 524 to 776 of the family's 1533-position model. The record is from RNAcentral.
UACAGAGGGGGCAAGCGUUAUUCGGAAUUAUUGGGCGUAAAGGGCGCGUAGGCGGCCUGACAAGUGGAAGGUGAAAUCCCUCGGCUUAACCGAGGAACUGCCUUCCAAACUGUUUGGCUUGAGUCCGGGAGAGGCGAGUGGAAUUCCCAGUGUAGCGGUGAAAUGCGCAGAUAUCAGGAAGAACACCUAUGGCGAAGGCAGCACUCUGGGACGGUACUGACGCUGAGACGCGAAAGCGUGGGGAGCGAACAGG